RNAcentral lists this ribosomal RNA (253 nucleotides) under uncultured bacterium. RNAcentral describes it as "partial 16S ribosomal RNA". It matches the Rfam family "Bacterial small subunit ribosomal RNA", at positions 524 to 776 of the family's 1533-position model. The record is from RNAcentral.
UACGUAGGGUGCGAGCGUUGUCCGGAAUUACUGGGCGUAAAGAGCUCGUAGGCGGUUUGUCGCGUCUGCCGUGAAAGUCCGGGGCUCAACUCCGGAUCUGCGGUGGGUACGGGCAGACUAGAGUGAUGUAGGGGAGACUGGAAUUCCUGGUGUAGCGGUGAAAUGCGCAGAUAUCAGGAGGAACACCGAUGGCGAAGGCAGUGUUCUGGGCCAGUACUGACGCUGAGGAGCGAAAGCGUGGGGAGCAAACAGG